GACGAACGCUGGCGGCGUGCUUAACACAUGCAAGUCGAACGGAAAGGCCCUGCUUUUGUGGGGUGCUCGAGUGGCGAACGGGUGAGUAACACGUGAGUAACCUGCCCUUGACUUUGGGAUAACUUCAGGAAACUGGGGCUAAUACCGGAUAGGAGCUCCUGCUUCAUGGUGGGGGUUGGAAAGUUUCGGCGGUUGGGGAUGGACUCGCGGCUUAUCAGCUUGUUGGUGGGGUAGUGGCUUACCAAGGCUUUGACGGGUAGCCGGCCUGCGAGGGUGACCGGCCACAUUGGGACUGAGAUACGGCCCAGACUCCUACGGGAGGCAGCAGUGGGGAAUAUUGCACAAUGGGCGGAAGCCUGAUGCAGCAACGCCGCGUGCGGGAUGACGGCCUUCGGGUUGUAAACCGCUUUCGCCUGUGACGAAGCGUGAGUGACGGUAAUGGGUAAAGAAGCACCGGCUAACUACGUG
RNAcentral lists this ribosomal RNA (468 nucleotides) under uncultured bacterium. RNAcentral's name for it is "partial 16S ribosomal RNA". It matches the Rfam family "Bacterial small subunit ribosomal RNA", at positions 28 to 507 of the family's 1533-position model. The record is from RNAcentral.